GACGAACGCUGGCGGCGUGCCUAAUACAUGCAAGUCGAACGCACUCUCGUUUAGAUUGAAGGAGUUUGCUCCUGAUUGAUAAACAUUUGAGUGAGUGGCGGACGGGUGAGUAACACGUGGGUAACCUGCCCUAAAGUGGGGGAUAACAUUUGGAAACAGAUGUUAAUACCGCAUAAAACCUAACACCGCAUGGUGUAGGGUUGAAAGAUGGUUUCGGCUAUCACUUUAGGAUGGACCCGCGGUGCAUUAGUUAGUUGGUGAGGUAAAGGCUCACCAAGACCGUGAUGCAUAGCCGACCUGAGAGGGUAAUCGGCCACACUGGGACUGAGACACGGCCCAGACUCCUACGGGAGGCAGCAGUAGGGAAUCUUCCACAAUGGACGAAAGUCUGAUGGAGCAACGCCGCGUGAGUGAAGAAGGUUUUCGGAUCGUAAAACUCUGUUGUUGGAGAAGAAUGUAUCUGAUAGUAACUGAUCAGGUAGUGACGGUAGCCAACCAGAAAGCCACGGCUAACUACGUG
This 520-nucleotide ribosomal RNA is filed under the name uncultured bacterium. Its description in RNAcentral is "partial 16S ribosomal RNA". It matches the Rfam family "Bacterial small subunit ribosomal RNA", at positions 28 to 507 of the family's 1533-position model. The record is from RNAcentral.